RNAcentral lists this ribosomal RNA (468 nucleotides) under uncultured bacterium. RNAcentral describes it as "partial 16S ribosomal RNA". It matches the Rfam family "Bacterial small subunit ribosomal RNA", at positions 36 to 507 of the family's 1533-position model. The record is from RNAcentral.
UCCUCCCUCUGGCGGCGUGCUUAACACAUGCAAGUCGAACGGAAAGGCCCUGCUUUUGUGGGGUGCUCGAGUGGCGAACGGGUGAGUAACACGUGAGUAACCUGCCCUUGACUUUGGGAUAACUUCAGGAAACUGGGGCUAAUACCGGAUAGGAGCUCCUGCUGCAUGGUGGGGGUUGGAAAGUUUCGGCGGUUGGGGAUGGACUCGCGGCUUAUCAGCUUGUUGGUGGGGUAGUGGCUUACCAAGGCUUUGACGGGUAGCCGGCCUGAGAGGGUGACCGGCCACAUUGGGACUGAGAUACGGCCCAGACUCCUACGGGAGGCAGCAGUGGGGAAUAUUGCACAAUGGGCGGAAGCCUGAUGCAGCAACGCCGCGUGCGGGAUGACGGCCUUCGGGUUGUAAACCGCUUUCGCCUGUGACGAAGCGUGAGUGACGGUAACGGGUAAAGAAGCACCGGCUAACUACGUG